RNAcentral lists this ribosomal RNA (346 nucleotides) under uncultured bacterium. RNAcentral describes it as "partial 16S ribosomal RNA". It matches the Rfam family "Bacterial small subunit ribosomal RNA", at positions 338 to 681 of the family's 1533-position model. The record is from RNAcentral.
CCUACGGGAGGCAGCAGGGAGGAAUAGUGGUCAAUGGGCGCGAGCCGGAACCAGCCAAGUAGCGUGAAGGAUGACGGCCCUACGGGUUGUAAACUUCUUUUAUAAAGGAAUAAAGUGAGGCACGUGUGCCUUUUUGUAUGUACGUUAUGAAUAAGGAUCGGCUAACUCCGUGCCAGCAGCCGCGGUAAUACGGAGGAUCCGAGCGUUAUCCGGAUUUAUUUGGUUUAAAGGGAGCGUAGAUGGGUUGUUAAGUCAGUUGUGAAAGUUUGCGGCUCAACCGUAAAAUUGCAAUUGAUACUGGCAGUCUUGCGUACAGUUGCGGUCGGCGGCCUUCGUGGUGUAGCGG